AGUGAACGCUGGCGGUAGGCCUAACACAUGCAAGUCGAACGGCAGCACAGUAAGAGCUUGCUCUUACGGGUGGCGAGUGGCGGACGGGUGAGGAAUACAUCGGAAUCUACUUUUUCGUGGGGGAUAACGUAGGUAAACUUACGCUAAUACCGCAUACGACCUACGGGUGAAAGCAGGGGAUCUUCGGACCUUGCGCGAUUGAAUGAGCCGAUGUCGGAUUAGCUAGUUGGCGGGGUAAAGGCCCACCAAGGCGACGAUCCGUAGCUGGGCUGAGAGGAUGAACAGCCACACGGGAACUGAGAGACGGUCCAGACUCCUAGGGGAGGCAGCAGUGGGGAAUAUUGGAAAAUGGGCGCAAGCCUGAUCCAGCCAUACCGCGUGGGUGAAGAAGGCCUGCGGGUGGUAAAGCCCUUUUGGUGGGAAAGAAAAGCAGCAGGUUAAUACCCCGCUGUUCUGACGGUACCCAAAGAAUAAGCACCGGCUAACUUCGU
RNAcentral lists this ribosomal RNA (491 nucleotides) under uncultured bacterium. RNAcentral describes it as "partial 16S ribosomal RNA". It matches the Rfam family "Bacterial small subunit ribosomal RNA", at positions 29 to 506 of the family's 1533-position model. The record is from RNAcentral.